Molecule: long non-coding RNA, 1498 nt
Organism: Xenia sp. Carnegie-2017
Lineage: Eukaryota; Metazoa; Cnidaria; Anthozoa; Malacalcyonacea; Xeniidae
Exons: 8
Source: RefSeq, a predicted model, not a curated record
ACAUUAGGAUGUUGAUAGUGGUUACAAUGGAUGAUAGUGGAUAAUUAUAGACAUGCUUUCAAAAUGGCGUAUGCUGAACAAUUUUAUUUUCAGUCAACUUGGAGCACACUUAAUCAUUUUAUGGCAAGAAUAGGUAAAUGUUGGCUGAACUGUAUAAAAUAAGGCGUUCAAGGAUGCAAUUCGGAAGCGUAAAAAAAGACUUGAGGCAUAUGCAAGAGAACUAUCUUCACGUAGCAGACUGACAUUUGUGGUGAAUUCACUGAAUUGCUCUGGAAGCUAACAGUUAUUGGUUGUUAUUCUGGCUAUGUGAAACCAAUCUAUCUGCAUGAGUUCUAUCAUGAUUUUAAACAGCAAAUCGAUGCGUUGCGUAUGAGUUGUAUCGACCAGCUUACUACACAGUCAACACUUCACCAAUUUGGAAUUUGAAACAUUUUGGUGAUAAGAAUUUUAUACCGACGUAUCCCUGCGAUAAAAAGACUCACAAGAAAAACUGUUUUGUUCAGAGUAAGAUUAAUAUAAAAAUUUUUGAUGCUAUGAGAUGGUCUCAUCAAUGUGCAACAAUUGAACUGGAUUUCCAACUUCCUGAGAGAUUCAACCUCACGCUAGGAUUUUAUGGCUUUCUCCCCAUCAAGUUGUAGUAAUUCCUGUCAGUAGUAAAUAUGAUGAUUAUGCCGAACCGGUAAAUUUAAUUUGAUUCAAAAGAAGUUCCAUGCAGCUGGUUAUCGUGUUGAUACAGACUUGGAUCACGGAUCAACACUAAAUAAGAAAGUUCGCAAUGCACAACUUUCACAGUACAACUUCGUUCUUGUUGUUGGUGAAAAGAGACGGUCUCAGACACGGUCAACGUCAGAACACGUGACAACAAAGUACUCGGUGAAAAAUCGGUCAUGGCCGUGAUCGAACGCUUGCGAGAUUUAGUCAUCUCACGAAGUCUGACAAGCGAAGAUUUUUGAAGUAAAACAACAUUUUUAUGAAAAAUAGGUACGCGUACAUGCCACUGGUCACUGGCAAGCUGGCGGCAUUGGUCACUAAUACUUUAUCAGUGGUGGUAAUAUUGAUUUUAUCGUGGUGGUAAAUUCUUCCAUUGGUAAUUUAUGGCGAUAACCAUCAGCAACUUUUCAACUUUUUACCAUCAAGUUUUCACUCAAACGAGAUCGCUUCUCUUUCAUAUUUUGGCUUGUUUCUUGAGCUAGUAGGAGGCUGUGUGCGUUGAUACAAGAAAAACUUUGUUGUGCAGAGGAAGUGGGCCAAGAUCGUCCCUCGUUUUGACAGUCAUUUGCUAUUCGUACUGGAGCUCUAGAAUUUUACUGUUUUUAGUGAUCGAGGUAGAAGAACUGCUUGAAAAUGAAACUUCCAACAUUGAAAGAAAAUCAAGCAUGGCAGAAGAGAAACAACGACGCCAGGUUGAAGAUAGCUUGAUGAAAUUGAACGUAGUUGAAGCACCUAGCAUACGCUCGAGAGUUUUGGAUGAGGACUCGCCAACCACUGAAAACAUGAA